Pelobates cultripes (western spadefoot toad) is the source of this 393-nucleotide non-coding RNA. Lineage: Eukaryota; Metazoa; Chordata; Amphibia; Anura; Pelobatidae. The record is from the annotation of a GenBank genome assembly.
AGUAAUGGAGGGAAAGGGCAGUUAGUAAUGGGGGAGUAAGUAAUAGAGGGGACUUUCCCUUGCAUGAAAGCAGCGGUGUUCGAUAUAUUUAAAGGGACACUAUAGUCCCCCAGACCACUUCAGCUCAAUAAAGUUGUCUGGGUGCCAGGUCCCCCAGGUUUUAACCCUUCACCUGUUGUAACGGAUCACCUGGCACCCCAACUGGGUACCUCCGUUGAAGGAUGCUCCUAGCGCUUCCUGAGGAAUCCAAGCACUGCAGCAGACACCAUAACCACCGCCGUCUCCUUCAGAGAGCAAAAGAGGAACAAGCUCUUACAAGAGCUUAGCAGUGAAUAUAGCAAGAGAGUAUGCAGAGCAUAGCAAUCCCUUCUAGCAGAUUCCCCCCAAUAAGAG